This 484-nucleotide ribosomal RNA is filed under the name uncultured bacterium. RNAcentral's name for it is "partial 16S ribosomal RNA". It matches the Rfam family "Bacterial small subunit ribosomal RNA", at positions 28 to 523 of the family's 1533-position model. The record is from RNAcentral.
GACGAACGCUGGCGGCGUGCUUAACACAUGCAAGUCGAACGAUGAAGCCGGAGCUUGCUCUGGUGAAUUAGUGGCGAACGGGUGAGUAACACGUGAGUAACCUGCCCUUGACUCUGGGAUAACUGCGGGAAACUGUAGCUAAUACCGGAUACGACCCUCGGAGGCAUCUCCUGGGGGUGGAAAGAAUUUCGGUCAAGGAUGGACUCGCGGCCUAUCAGCUAGUUGGUGAGGUAAAGGCUCACCAAGGCGACGACGGGUAGCCGGCCUGGGAGGGUGACCGGCCACACGGGGACUGAGACACGGCCCAGACUCCUACGGGAGGCAGCAGUGGGGAAUAUUGCACAAUGGGCGCAAGCCUGAUGCAGCAACGCCGCGUGAGGGAUGACGGCCUUCGGGUUGUAAACCUCUUUUAGCAGGGAAGAAGCGAAAGUGACGGUACCUGCAGAAUAAGGAUCGGCUAACUCCGUGCCAGCAGCCGCAGUAA